GAUGAAGAACGCAGUGAAAUGCGAUAAGUAAUGUGAAUUGCAGAAUUCAGUGAAUCAUCGAAUCUUUGAACGCACAUUGCGCCCCUUGGUAUUCCGAGGGGCAUGCCUGUUCGAGCGUCAUUAUAACCCCUCAAGCUCAGCUUGGUGUUGGGGCCUGCUGCACUGGCAGCCCUUAAAAUCAGUGGCGGCGCCAUCUGGCUCUAAGCGUAGUAAUUCUUCUCGCUAUGGAGUCCUGGUGGAUGCUUGCCAUCAACCCCCAAUUUUUCUAUGGUUGACCUCGGAUCAGGUAGGGAUACCCGCUGAACUUAAGCAUAUCAAUAAGCGGAGGA
Molecule: unclassified non-coding RNA, 329 nt
Filed under: soil metagenome
Description: partial contains 5.8S ribosomal RNA, internal transcribed spacer 2, and large subunit ribosomal RNA
Rfam family: 5.8S ribosomal RNA (bases 1-120)
Source: RNAcentral